Molecule: unclassified non-coding RNA, 109 nt
Organism: Cricetulus griseus (Chinese hamster)
Lineage: Eukaryota; Metazoa; Chordata; Mammalia; Rodentia; Cricetidae
Product: predicted gene, 27611
Source: Ensembl
CGCGGGUCCAAGCCUGUAGUCCCAAAUCGGAUAAUCUCUGCAGCUGGCUACACGCAAAAGAGAAGCCAGGCAACAGACAUAUUACAGAAGAAAGCUCUCGACUCCGAGG